This 424-nucleotide ribosomal RNA is filed under the name uncultured prokaryote. Its description in RNAcentral is "bacterial SSU rRNA". It matches the Rfam family "Bacterial small subunit ribosomal RNA", at positions 355 to 796 of the family's 1533-position model. The record is from RNAcentral.
UGGGGAAUAUUGGACAAUGGGCGCAAGCCUGAUCCAGCCAUGCCGCGUGAGUGAUGAAGGCCCUAGGGUUGUAAAGCUCUUUCACCGGUGAAGAUAAUGACGGUAACCGGAGAAGAAGCCCCGGCUAACUUCGUGCCAGCAGCCGCGGUAAUACGAAGGGGGCUAGCGUUGUUCGGAAUUACUGGGCGUAAAGCGCACGUAGGCGGAUAUUUAAGUCAGGGGUGAAAUCCCGGGGCUCAACCCCGGAACUGCCUCUGAUACUGGGUAUCUAGAGUCCGAGAGAGGUGAGUGGAAUUCCGAGUGUAGAGGUGAAAUUCGUAGAUAUUCGGAGGAACACCAGUGGCGAAGGCGGCUCACUGGCUCGGUACUGACGCUGAGGUGCGAAAGCGUGGGGAGCAAACAGGAUUAGAUACCCGCGUAGUCC